GUGAUAUGGAAGCUGGGCUAGCAGGCAUCAUCACCGGGUUCUACUGCUGGGGCUGGGAGUUCCUCACUGCCCUCCUCCUCUUCUCCUCCUGCUGAAUCAUUCCUCCUCUUCCUCCUUUUUCUUUUAUUUUCAGUUUUGGGUUGCCGUAUUUCUUGAGAGAAUAUGACCAAACAACAUAGUGGCGCCGGGCCGGCGCCGUUUCUGACGAAGACGCAUCAGAUGGUGGAGGAAGCGGUGACGGACGAGGUGAUAUCGUGG
RNAcentral lists this unclassified non-coding RNA (258 nucleotides) under Hevea brasiliensis (rubber tree). The record is from RNAcentral. Lineage: Eukaryota; Viridiplantae; Streptophyta; Magnoliopsida; Malpighiales; Euphorbiaceae.